RNAcentral lists this long non-coding RNA (1257 nucleotides) under Chrysemys picta bellii (western painted turtle). RNAcentral's name for it is "lncRNA (ENSCPBG00000001435.1)". Lineage: Eukaryota; Metazoa; Chordata; Testudines; Emydidae. The record is from RNAcentral.
GUUGACGCCGUUCCCAUGAGACCUGCUGCUGUUUUGGAAACGUUGAUUUAAAGCAGAGCCGUGGCGAUGACAGUGAUGAAUUGAUACGGUCCCGUCGGGCCAGCACUGAUACGUGGCCACAGACGUACCCUGCCUCCCCGCACCACCGCGGGAUCCUCAGGGCUCAAGUGGCCGGCACAGCUGCUGCUUGGGGGAGACCGAAGCUGCGUCAGUAGCAGCUGCCUCCCUGGCACAUACCACAGGGAGAAGCUGCAGCACCAAACCCGUUAGCUGCAUGGACGUGCCAGCUAGGGGCUCCGGAAGUGCAAAGUGAUACGGGGCAGGAAUGGUGCAGGCAGACAGCCUGCAGCUGCGCCCACCCCCACAGGUCUGUGGAGUCCCAGGUCAUCGUGGGCACCACAUUCCAUCCUCCUGGCCAGCCGUCCUUCCUGAGACACCAGGAAGAGUUAGGGCCCUGCGUCAUGCUUCCUUCACUUGUGUGGGCAGACGCUGUGGCAGCAGCUGCCCCUGUGACUGAUUCUUAGUCAGAGAGACUCAGGCAGGGAGAAAAGAAUUUUGCUGAUCAGAUGCUCAACAUCUUCAAAAGAACUGCACCACACCCGACAACCAGCAUUUCUCUGAGAUCUAGCUGCUAUCCAUUCAGACAAAUACAACAACUGGGUCAUUGACAAUAAUGACAUCUGGUGACCCCCCGCCCCUCCCGAUAAUGUUAUAUUUUAUUCCUGACCCACAGCAUCCUCUGCUGUUCCAGUCUUGGGACUCUCCAGAACAGGAGGGCCAGGGGCGCAGAGGUUUUGGUAUGUAGGGUGCUUGUAACUUUGGGCGGGGAGAGGGGGAGGCGGGUAUGGCUUGUUCCUGUGCCUUCUGGAAGCAUGAACUCUGCGGCUGCAUCCCCAGUGCAAGGGUCACUUUAAGGCAGUGCUGGAGGAGGCAGCCAGCAGUGCCCCACCAGGAGGGAGCUGGGUGAUGCCCCAAUUCUCCCACACUUCAGCCCCCAUGUUGGUGUCAGCUUGGGACCCCACCCCACUGUGGGAGGGGAAGUUUCCAGAGAGGGGUGGCCUGUGGGGAGUGGGCCCAGUGGAGCGCGCUCCCUUGGGGCCAUGGUGGAGCUGAGACAGGGCAGUUCCCCUCUUUGGGCUCCCAGGGCUGGUAGGGGCAGUGCUGGGGGCAGGGCAGCUGGCUCCUGGUGAGAGGCCAAAGUGCCCGUGUCUGGGGGCUGAUGGGCGCUUCCUCUCCCUCCAUCUCUGAGCAGUGCAG